UUUAAAUAUAUAAAAAUGUUUCUAAAGUCUAUGUUAGUAAUUUUUAAAGAUGGAGAUAUCAUGAUUGAUUCAGAUAUAAUGGAGUUUUUAGGAGAAGAUACAAAAAUCGAGAGAAACCUCGAGUACUUAUUAAACCUUAUAUUAAAUCAAAUUACAGGCUUGGACUUACUAGACAUGCAUAAAACUGAACAAAUAAAAAUUAAUCGUAUAAUGCAUCGUCUUUCACACU
Long non-coding RNA from Piliocolobus tephrosceles (Ugandan red Colobus), 229 nucleotides. RefSeq lists it as uncharacterized. The record is from RefSeq and is a predicted model, not a curated record. The transcript is spliced from 3 exons. NCBI's taxonomy places the organism in Eukaryota, Metazoa, Chordata, Mammalia, Primates, Cercopithecidae.